RNAcentral lists this ribosomal RNA (253 nucleotides) under uncultured bacterium. Its description in RNAcentral is "partial 16S ribosomal RNA". It matches the Rfam family "Bacterial small subunit ribosomal RNA", at positions 524 to 776 of the family's 1533-position model. The record is from RNAcentral.
CACGUAGGGCGCAAGCGUUGUCCGGAAUUAUUGGGCGUAAAGAGCUCGUAGGCGGUCUGUUACGUCUGCUGUGAAAACCCUGGGCUUAACCCUGGGCUUGCAGUGGAUACGGGCAGACUAGAGGCAGGUAGGGGAGAAUGGAAUUCCCGGUGUAGCGGUGAAAUGCGCAGAUAUCGGGAGGAACACCGGUGGCGAAGGCGGUUCUCUGGGCCUGACCUGACGCUGAGGAGCGAAAGCGUGGGGAGCGAACGGG